GUCCUCUUUCUCUCACUGAGCCAAUAUCUUCUCUCCUAUUAAAAGAAACCCAGGUUCUACUUGCCGUCUCUAUCUCAACACCGCAAGCACCUCUGAAGUCUCAACAACCAAAAGGAAAAUGAAUCAACCCAUGAUUUUACUCCCCCUUUCUAUCCCUUACUCAUGAUACUUUCCUUUAUUUCUCAAUUACAAUUCAAUAGACUCAAAUUGAAAGCUCAAAUUUAACAAACCCAGAGUCAAUUAGCAAACACAUAAACAAAUAUGAAUCCGUUUUGUUGGAAUAUCACUUGUGGG
Molecule: unclassified non-coding RNA, 294 nt
Filed under: Hevea brasiliensis (rubber tree)
Lineage: Eukaryota; Viridiplantae; Streptophyta; Magnoliopsida; Malpighiales; Euphorbiaceae
Source: RNAcentral